AGUGAACGCUGGCGGUAGGCCUAACACAUGCAAGUCGAACGGCAGCACAGUAAGAGCUUGCUCUUACGGGUGGCGAGUGGCGGACGGGUGAGGAAUACAUCGGAAUCUACUUUUUCGUGGGGGAUAACGUAGGGAAACUUACGCUAAUACCGCAUACGACCUACGGGUGAAAGCAGGGGAUCUUCGGACCUUGCGCGAUUGAAUGAGCCGAUGUCGGAUUAGCUAGUUGGCGGGGUAAAGGCCCACCAAGGCGACGAUCCGUAGCUGGUCUGAGAGGAUGAUCAGCCAGACUGGAACUGAGACACGGUCCAGACUCCUACGGGAGGCAGCAGUGGGGAAUAUUGGAGAAUGGGCGCAAGCCUGAUCCAGCCAUACCGCGUGGGUGAAGAAGGCCUUGGGGUUGUAAAGCCCUUUUGUUGGGAAAGAAAAGAAGCAGGUUAAUACCCCGCUGUUCUGACGGUACCCAAAGAAUAAGCACCGGCUAACUUCGUG
RNAcentral lists this ribosomal RNA (492 nucleotides) under uncultured bacterium. RNAcentral's name for it is "partial 16S ribosomal RNA". It matches the Rfam family "Bacterial small subunit ribosomal RNA", at positions 29 to 507 of the family's 1533-position model. The record is from RNAcentral.